CUACGGGUGGCUGCAGUGAGGAAUAUUGCACAAUGGGGGGAACCCUGAUGCAGCAACGCCGCGUGGAGGAUGACGCAUUUCGGUGUGUAAACUCCUUUUAUAUGUCAAGAAAAUGACGGUAGCAUAUGAAUAAGCACCGGCUAACUCCGUGCCAGCAGCCGCGGUAAUACGGAGGGUGCAAGCGUUACUCGGAAUCACUGGGCGUAAAGGACGCGUGGGCGGGUUGGAAAGUCAGGUGUGAAAUCCUACAGCUUAACUGUAGAACUGCACUUGAAACUUCUACUCUAGAGUAUGGGAGGGGGAGAUGGAAUUAGUGGUGUAGGGGUAAAAUCCGUAGAUAUCACUAGGAAUACCUAAAGCGAAGGCGAUCUCCUGGAACAUUACUGACGCUAAGGCGUGAAAGCGUGGGGAGCAAACAGGAUUAGAUACCCGCGUAGUC
RNAcentral lists this ribosomal RNA (439 nucleotides) under uncultured bacterium. Its description in RNAcentral is "partial 16S ribosomal RNA". It matches the Rfam family "Bacterial small subunit ribosomal RNA", at positions 339 to 795 of the family's 1533-position model. The record is from RNAcentral.